RNAcentral lists this ribosomal RNA (321 nucleotides) under uncultured eukaryote. RNAcentral's name for it is "partial 18S ribosomal RNA". It matches the Rfam family "Eukaryotic small subunit ribosomal RNA", at positions 1470 to 1796 of the family's 1831-position model. The record is from RNAcentral.
CCCUUAGAUGUUCUGGGCAGCACGCGCGCUACAAUGGUCUUCGCAAACGGAUGCAUUCUCGAAGGAGAAUGCCAAUCUUGGAAUCUAUGCCUUGGUCGGGACAGUUGCUUGCAAUUUUUCGACUCGAACCAGGAAUUCCUUGUAAUCGUGAUUCAUCACAUCACGAUGAAUACGUCCCUGCCCUUUGUACACACCGCCCGUCGCUCCUACCGAUCGAAGAGUUAGGUGAGGUCUCAGGAUCGUGGCUUAGCACCUUCAUUGGAGCUCUGCCGUGAGAAUUUGCCCAAACCUCAUCAUUUAGAGGAAGGUGAAGUCGUAACA